This 451-nucleotide ribosomal RNA is filed under the name uncultured bacterium. RNAcentral's name for it is "partial 16S ribosomal RNA". It matches the Rfam family "Bacterial small subunit ribosomal RNA", at positions 29 to 523 of the family's 1533-position model. The record is from RNAcentral.
AGCGAACGCUGGCGGCAGGCUUAACACAUGCAAGUCGAGCGGGCAUCUUCGGGUGUCAGCGGCGGACGGGUGAGUAACGCGUGGGAACGUGCCUUCUGGUUCGGAAUAACUCAGGGAAACUUGAGCUAAUACCGGAUACGCCCUUUUGGGGAAAGGUUUACUGCCGGAAGAUCGGCCCGCGUCUGAUUAGCUAGUUGGUGGGGUAACGGCCUACCAAGGCGACGAUCAGUAGCUGGUCUGAGAGGAUGAUCAGCCACACUGGGACUGAGACACGGCCCAGACUCCUACGGGAGGCAGCAGUGGGGAAUAUUGGACAAUGGGCGCAAGCCUGAUCCAGCCAUGCCGCGUGAGUGAUGAAGGCCUUAGGGUUGUAAAGCUCUUUUAUCCGGGACGAUAAUGACGGUACCGGAGGAAUAAGCCCCGGCUAACUUCGUGCCAGCAGCCGCGGUAA